AGAGUUUGAUCAUGGCUCAGGACGAACGCUGGCGGCGUGCCUAAUACAUGCAAGUCGAGCGGACCGACGGGAGCUUGCUCCCUUAGGUCAGCGGCGGACGGGUGAGUAACACGUGGGUAACCUGCCUGUAAGACUGGGAUAACUCCGGGUAACCGGGGCUAAUACCGGAUGCUUAAUUGAACCGCAUGGUUCAAUUAUAAAAGGUGGCUUUUAGCUACCACUUACAGAUGGACCCGCGGCGCAUUAGCUAGUUGGUGAGGUAACGGCUCACCAAGGCAACGAUGCGUAGCCGACCUGAGAGGGUGAUCGGCCACACUGGGACUGAGACACGGCCCAGACUCCUACGGGAGGCAGCAGUAGGGAAUCUUCCGCAAUGGACGAAAGUCUGACGGAGCAACGCCGCGUGAGUGAUGAAGGUUUUCGGAUCGUAAAACUCUGUUGUUAGGGAAGAACAAGUACCGUUCGAAUAGGGCGGUACCUUGACGGUACCUAACCAGAAAGCCACGGCUAACUACGUGCCAGCAGCCGCGGUAAUACGUAGGUGGCAAGCGUUGUCCGGAAUUAUUGGGCGUAAAGCGCGCGCAGGCGGUUUCUUAAGUCUGAUGUGAAAGCCCCCGGCUCAACCGGGGAGGGUCAUUGGAAACUGGGGAACUUGAGUGCAGAAGAGGAGAGUGGAAUUCCACGUGUAGCGGUGAAAUGCGUAGAGAUGUGGAGGAACACCAGUGGCGAAGGCGACUCUCUGGUCUGUAACUGACGCUGAGGCGCGAAAGCGUGGGGAGCGAACAGGAUUAGAUACCCUGGUAGUCCACGCCGUAAACGAUGAGUGCUAAGUGUUAGAGGGUUUCCGCCCUUUAGUGCUGCAGCAAACGCAUUAAGCACUCCGGCCUGGGGAGUACGGUCGCAAGACUGAAACUCAAAGGAAUUGACGGGGGCCCGCACAAGCGGUGGAGCAUGGUGGUUUAAUUCGAAGCAACGCGAG
Molecule: ribosomal RNA, 979 nt
Filed under: Bacillus sp. BGR273
Lineage: Bacteria; Bacillati; Bacillota; Bacilli; Caryophanales; Bacillaceae
Description: bacterial SSU rRNA
Rfam family: Bacterial small subunit ribosomal RNA
Source: RNAcentral